GUGCCAGCAGCCGCGGUAAUACGUAGGGGGCAAGCGUUAUCCGGAUUUACUGGGUGUAAAGGGAGCGUAGACGGCCAUUCAAGCCAGAUGUGAAAGCCCGGGGCUCAACCCCGGGACUGCAUUUGGAACUGUGUGGCUGGAGUGUCGGAGAGGCAGGCGGAAUUCCUAGUGUAGCGGUGAAAUGGGUAGAUACUAGGAGGAACACCAGUGGCGAAGGCGGCCUGCUGGACGAUGACUGACGUUGAGGCUCGAAAGCGUGGGGAGCAAACAGGAUUAGAUACCCUGGUAGUCCACGCCGUAAACGAUGACAACUAGGUGGCGGGUGGCAAAGCCAUUUGGUGCCGCAACAAACACAAUAAGUACUCCACGUGGGGAGUACGUUCGCAAGAAUGAAACUCAAAGGAAUUUGACGGGCACCCGCUCAAGCGGUGGAUCUGUUGUUUAUUUCGGAAGCAACGCGAAGAACCUUAGCUGG
This 475-nucleotide ribosomal RNA is filed under the name uncultured bacterium. Its description in RNAcentral is "bacterial SSU rRNA". It matches the Rfam family "Bacterial small subunit ribosomal RNA", at positions 505 to 978 of the family's 1533-position model. The record is from RNAcentral.